Molecule: ribosomal RNA, 468 nt
Filed under: uncultured bacterium
Lineage: Bacteria
Description: partial 16S ribosomal RNA
Rfam family: Bacterial small subunit ribosomal RNA
Source: RNAcentral
UCCUCCCUCUUUCUUCGUGCUUAACACAUGCAAGUCGAACGGAAAGGCCCUGCUUUUGUGGGGUGCUCGAGUGGCGAACGGGUGAGUAACACGUGAGUAACCUGCCCUUGACUUUGGGAUAACUUCAGGAAACUGGGGCUAAUACCGGAUAGGAGCUCCUGCUGCAUGGUGGGGGUUGGAAAGUUUCGGCGGUUGGGGAUGGACUCGCGGCUUAUCAGCUUGUUGGUGGGGUAGUGGCUUACCAAGGCUUUGACGGGUAGCCGGCCUGAGAGGGUUACCGGCCACAUUGGGACUGAGAUACGGCCCAGACUCCUACGGGAGGCAGCAGUGGGGAAUAUUGCACAAUGGGCGGAAGCCUGAUGCAGCAACGCCGCGUGCGGGAUGACGGCCUUCGGGUUGUAAACCGCUUUCGCCUGUGACGAAGCGUGAGUGACGGUAAUGGGUAAAGAAGCACCGGCUAACUACGUG